GGAGAGAUGGUAGAGUGGUCGAUUACAACGGUCUUGAAAACCGUCGUGCUGAAAGGCACCGGGGGUUCGAAUCCCUCUCUCUCCG
Molecule: transfer RNA, 85 nt
Filed under: Prevotella sp.
Lineage: Bacteria; Pseudomonadati; Bacteroidota; Bacteroidia; Bacteroidales; Prevotellaceae
Also listed under: 1 other name
Description: tRNA-Ser
Rfam family: tRNA
About the family: Transfer RNA (tRNA) molecules are approximately 80 nucleotides in length. Their secondary structure includes four short double-helical elements and three loops (D, anti-codon, and T loops).
Source: RNAcentral